GGUCAAGCGAAUAAGCGCACACGGUGGAUGCCUUGGCGGUCAGAGGCGAUGAAGGACGUGGCAGCCUGCGAAAAGUAUCGGGGAGCUGGCAACAAGCUUUGAUCCGGUAAUGUCCGAAUGGGGAAACCCACCCGCUUGCGGGUAUCCUGCAGUGAAUACAUAGCUGCUGGAAGCGAACCUGGUGAACUGAAAUAUCUAAGUAACCAGAGGAAAAGAAAUCAACCGAGAUUCCGUAAGUAGCGACGAGCGAACGCGGACUAGCCCUUAAGCUGGAUUGGUUCUAGGAAAAUGCUCUGGAAAGAGCAGCCAUAGAAGGUGAUAGCCCUGUAUCUGAAAGGGCCAUUCCAGUGAAGACGAGUAGGGCGGGGCACGUGAAACCCUGUCUGAACAUGGGGGGACCAUCCUCCAAGGCUAAAUACUACUGACCGACCGAUAGUGAACCAGUACCGUGAGGGAAAGGCGAAAAGAACCCCGGAGAGGGGAGUGAAAUAGAACCUGAAACCGUGUGCGUACAAGCAGUAGGAGCUCCGCAAGGAGUGACUGCGUACCUUUUGUAUAAUGGGUCAGCGACUUACUGUUCGUGGCAAGCUUAACCGUAUAGGGGAGGCGAAGGGAAACCGAGUCUGAUAAGGGCGCAUAGUCGCGGGCAGUAGACCCGAAACCGGGUGAUCUAGUCAUGCCCAGGGUGAAGGUGCGGUAACACGCACUGGAGGCCCGAACCCACUCCCGUUGCAAAGGUAGGGGAUGAGGUGUGAUUAGGAGUGAAAAGCUAAUCGAACCCGGAGAUAGCUGGUUCUCCUCGAAAGCUAUUUAGGUAGCGCCUCAUAUGUAUCCUCUCGGGGGUAGAGCACUGUUAUGGCUAGGGGGUCAUCGCGACUUACCAAACCAUUGCAAACUCCGAAUACCGAGACGGACUGUAUGGGAGACACACGGCGGGUGCUAACGUCCGUCGUGAAAAGGGAAACAACCCAGACCCACAGCUAAGGUCCCAAAUUUUGUGCUAAGUGGAAAACCAUGUGGAAAGGCACAGACAGCCAGGAGGUUGGCUUAGAAGCAGCCACCCUUUAAAGAAAGCGUAAUAGCUCACUGGUCGAGUCGGUCUGCGGGGAAGAUUUAACGGGGCUAAGCACAGAACCGAAGCUUGGGGUGCAUAACUUUGUUAUGCGCGGUAGAGGAGCGUUCCGUAAGCCGUUGAAGGUGGAUUGAGAAGUCUGCUGGAGGUAUCGGAAGUGCGAAUGCUGACAUGAGUAACGAUAAUGCGGGUGAAAAACCCGCACGCCGAAAGCCCAAGGUUUCCUUGCGCAACGUUAAUCGGCGCAGGGUGAGUCGGCCCCUAAGGCGAGGACGAAAGUCGUAGUCGAUGGGAAGCAGGUUAAUAUUCCUGCACCUCGCGUAAGUGCGAUGGAGGGACGGAGAAGGUUAGGUGUACCAGGCGUUGGUUGUCCUGGGGAAAGGCGGUAGGUUUGGAUCUUUGGCAAAUCCGGGAUCCUUUAAGACCGAGCACCGAGACGAGCCUUUAUGGCAAAGUCACUGAUACCACGCUUCCAGGAAAAGCUCCUAAGCUUCAGCUUACGCAGACCGUACCGUAAACCGACACAGGUGGGUAGGAUGAGAAUUCUCAGGCGCUUGAGAGAACUCGGGUGAAGGAACUAGGCAACAUGGCACCGUAACUUCGGGAGAAGGUGCACCCUUUUUGGUGGCUCGUGCGAGCUAUAGCUGAAGAGGGUCGCAGUAACCAGGCCGCUGCGACUGUUUAUCAAAAACACAGCACUCUGCAAACACGAAAGUGGACGUAUAGGGUGUGACGCCUGCCCGGUGCUGGAAGGUUAAUUGAUGGGGUCAGCCGCAAGGCGAAGCUCUUGAUCGAAGCCCCAGUAAACGGCGGCCGUAACUAUAACGGUCCUAAGGUAGCGAAAUUCCUUGUCGGGUAAGUUCCGACCUGCACGAAUGGCGUAACGACAGCGGCGCUGUCUCCACCCGAGACUCAGUGAAAUUGAAAUCGCUGUGAAGAUGCAGCGUUCCCGUGGCAAGACGGAAAGACCCCGUGAACCUUUACUAUAGCUUUACACUGAACGUUGAGUUCGUCUGUGUAGGAUAGGUGGGAGGCUAUGAAACCAUGGCGCUAGCUGUGGCGGAGCCAUCCUUGAAAUACCACCCUGUCGUGCUUGACGUUCUAACCUGGGCCCAUUAUCUGGGUCGGGGACCGUGUAUGGUGGGUAGUUUGACUGGGGCGGUCUCCUCCUAAAGAGUAACGGAGGAGCUCGAAGGUACGCUCAGCGCGGUCGGACAUCGCGCACUGUGUGCAAAGGCAUAAGCGUGCUUGACUGCAAGAUCGACGGAUCAAGCAGGUAGGAAACUAGGACUUAGUGAUCCGGUGGUUCUGUAUGGAAGGGCCAUCGCUCAACGGAUAAAAGGUACUCCGGGGAUAACAGGCUGAUACCGCCCAAGAGUUCAUAUCGACGGCGGUGUUUGGCACCUCGAUGUCGGCUCAUCACAUCCUGGGGCUGUAGUCGGUCCCAAGGGUAUGGCUGUUCGCCAUUUAAAGUGGUACGCGAGCUGGGUUCAGAACGUCGUGAGACAGUUCGGUCCCUAUCUGCCAUGGGCGUUGGAGAUUUGAGAGGGGCUGCUCCUAGUACGAGAGGACCGGAGUGGACGAACCUCUGGUGUUCCGGUUGUCACGCCAGUGGCAUUGCCGGGUAGCUAUGUUCGGAAGCGAUAACCGCUGAAAGCAUCUAAGCGGGAAGCGCGCCUCAAGAUGAGAUCUCCCGGGGCACAAGCCCCCUGAAGGAACCAUGUAGACUACGUGGUUGAUAGGUCAGGUGUGUAAGUACAGCAAUGUAUUGAGCUAACUGAUACUAAUGAUCCGUGCGGCUUGACCAU
RNAcentral lists this ribosomal RNA (2880 nucleotides) under Stenotrophomonas raiganjensis (SeqCode). RNAcentral's name for it is "Stenotrophomonas sp. RAC2 23S ribosomal RNA". It matches the Rfam family "Bacterial large subunit ribosomal RNA". Lineage: Bacteria; Pseudomonadati; Pseudomonadota; Gammaproteobacteria; Lysobacterales; Lysobacteraceae. The record is from RNAcentral.